Molecule: long non-coding RNA, 1365 nt
Filed under: Amborella trichopoda
Lineage: Eukaryota; Viridiplantae; Streptophyta; Magnoliopsida; Amborellales; Amborellaceae
Description: long non-coding RNA (ATRI_LNC002879)
Source: RNAcentral
CUAUGACUCACAUAAUAGGAUAUCAUCAAAGCAUUCCUACAAUUUGAUAAAAGAUAUUUAGAAAUUAAUACAAAAUCCAAACACGUCACUGAGUUUUCCCUCCAGUGACACUGGGCUUUCCCUCCAAUGCAACAUCUUAUAAAAGCUCUAAAAUGGAUUCCAAUAUAUGGCAUAUCCUCAUGUCAACUACGUGGGAUUUCACGUAUUAUACAAUAUGGUUUUUGUACUAUUAUUGAAAAAUAAAUUAUCAGAAUAAAAGAACCUGAUAGGUCAUAUUUCUAACAAGAACUACUUCUACAAAUAAAGUUGCAUCUUUAUACAAACCGCACACUUUGUUAAAAAUAAAAUUUUAAAUUUCUAAAUAGCUUAGUAAGUAAUUUUUUAGACAAACGAAAACGGCGUAUAAAAUCUUUAUUUUCUUUGUUAGAUAGGGCUAGUUAGUGUUCUCAUGCUUCUUGAUGAGCGUAUAGUCAACGCGAGGGACACCUUAAAAACAAGGAAAAAGUUUAUAUAAAGUUUCAAACUGUAAAAUGAAAGAUUAAGGUGCACCUAAAAAAUUCAUUAUAAUACCCCUCUAAUUAAUCAUCUGAAUUGAGAUGUGUGAAUAUGUAAGAAAACAAAUUUUUGAGUCUAAAAAAUAAUGCAUCUUGCAGUACAUUAUUUAGACUGUCUAUUUUUAAGAUUUUCAUGUAUUUAUAGAUCUACUUGAUUUGAAUUAUUUGUAGAGUUUAAAACUUUAUAAUUGCAUAUGAAAAUAAAUUUUUAAGCCAUCUUAAGAAUUUUUUUCACCAAAAUUUUAUCUUAUGAUCAUGCCCAACUUUGCAUGUUUAAGGUUGCAACCUCACACAAACCACACCCAAAAUAAAAAAGAUUGGACAUUACAAAACCAUUUAUUUUUAGAAAAGAGUUUAUAUAAGGUGUACGAGUAAGGUGCACCUAAAGAACCCACUAGAGAAGGUUGUUCUUAUGCAACAAAACUCUCAAAUCGAUAAUCUUCACCUCAAGAUUCAUAAACACAAAAUAAAAAAAAUAAAAAAAAAGGGGGAUUUCUAGUCCUAAAAAUAGUUCAUCUUCUAACACAUUAUAUGGACCAUCCAUUUUCAAUAUUCUUAAGUGCUUAUAGAUCUGUAUGAUAAUCACAAUUUUUAGAACUUUAAAUUUCACAAUUUGGGCCAACAACAGAUAUUCAUCGCAAGGCUUUGUCGCAUGGAAACUGUAUUUUCAACAAAGUUUUGAAGUAUACCUUACUUCAAUACUACAAUAUUGACAACUUAUACAGACGUCAUCCUUAUUUUAAUACAAGGAAGUCAUUGUCAUUUUUAGCUAAAAUCCAAUACAAUGUUGUCAGAUACAGGUCAGAUAUAG